CCUACGGGCGGCUGCAGUGGGGGAUAUUGGGCAAUGGAGGAAACUCUGACGCAGCGACGCCGCGUGAAUGAUGAAGGUCUUCGGAUUGUAAAGUUCUUUUCUAAGGGAAGAAGAAAGUGACGGUACCUUAGGAAUAAGCCGCUGCUAACUACGUGCCAGCAGCCGCGGUAAUACGUAGGAGGCGAGCGUUAUCCGGAAUGACUGGGCGUAAGGGGUGCGAAGGUGGUUUGGCAAGUUAGUAGCGUAACCCCAAGGCUCAACCUCGGAACUACUACUAAAACUGCUGGGCUGGAGUGCAGGAGGGGCAGGCGGAAUUCCUAGUGUAGCGGUGGAAUGCGUAGAUAUUAGGAGGAACACCAGUGGCGAAGGCGGGCUGCUAGACUGCAACUGACACUGAGGCCCGAAAGCGUGGGGAGCAAACAGGAUUAGAUACCCCGGUAGUC
This 443-nucleotide ribosomal RNA is filed under the name uncultured bacterium. Its description in RNAcentral is "partial 16S ribosomal RNA". It matches the Rfam family "Bacterial small subunit ribosomal RNA", at positions 338 to 795 of the family's 1533-position model. The record is from RNAcentral.